RNAcentral lists this ribosomal RNA (252 nucleotides) under uncultured bacterium. RNAcentral describes it as "partial 16S ribosomal RNA". It matches the Rfam family "Bacterial small subunit ribosomal RNA", at positions 524 to 776 of the family's 1533-position model. The record is from RNAcentral.
UACGUAGGGUGCGAGCGUUGUCCGGAAUUAUUGGGCGUAAAGGGCUCGUAGGCGGUCUGUUGCGUCGGGAGUGAAAACUCAGGGCUUAACCCUGAGCCUGCUUCCGAUACGGGCAGACUAGAGGUAUGCAGGGGAGAACGGAAUUCCUGGUGUAGCGGUGAAAUGCGCAGAUAUCAGGAGGAACACCGAUGGCGAAGGCAGGUCACUGGCCGCAACUGACGCUGAGGAGCGAAAGCAUGGGGAGCGAACAGG